Molecule: non-coding RNA, 136 nt
Organism: Triticum aestivum (bread wheat)
Lineage: Eukaryota; Viridiplantae; Streptophyta; Magnoliopsida; Poales; Poaceae
Source: Rfam
CAUAUCCUACCUCCGUCCCAAAAUUCUUGUCUUAGGUUUAUCUAGAUACGGAUGUAUCUAACACUAAAACAUGAAUAGAUACAUCCCGUAUGUAGACAAAUCUAAGACAAGAAUUUUGGGACGGAGGGAGUAUUUA